GGACAAGAAGGAGAGGGAAGGAGGAGAGUAUUUUCUAUGGUAUGGGAACCUCAUAGAGUGACCAAUCUCUUAUGGGUCAUUUUUCAGAUUGAUCAAGAUGUUCUGGAAAACAUGGAAAAGAGACGCCCCUCCAUAAAGGUACUGUCACUGACCUAUUGAGGUUAAUCAGAAAUGUGGGGGCGCACUAUGGUGGAAAACCGCAAUGGUAAGUGGUCAUAUUGGGAUUGAUGUCCCAGAUGAAGAUAGUUCUGGGGGACUGCGAGGGGAGUUGUGUGGGAGUGGGUCCUUUUUCACUUCCAGCAUUAUAAAAAACCAAAAAACAACUGUAAGUGCAUUUUGCAACCAGAUUUUGAAAACUAGUGGCCAAAAUCCCGCCCCCCCUACCAGUAAAGUGAUUUUUUUAAAUCCCCGGGCAGGAGAACAAGGGUGAGAAAGGAAGAAGCCACAGAUGCAAAGCAGGGAGAGCAUGGACCUUAGUUUGUUUCCAGGAAAUUCUCUCAAAGGCUGAUGAAAAGUGGGAAAACCUACUUCUUUGAUACUUCACAGUCAAUUGGGAUGCCCCAGGUAAAUUCAUCUGUUUUCUAUUCUAGGUUCAAGGAAAUAAUCCAGAACCCAUCACAGUAUUUUGUUGACCGGUUUCCAGAUCUGACAUUUUAUGUCUAUGAGCAUUUGUGCCAUGUGGACAGAGGCUUUCCUAAAGAAGGUCCUUCAUCACAUCUUCAAAGGCUACACUCCCAGCUGAGACAUCGCUUUGAGCACCCGAAGCUGCUCAAUCCUCUGCUGAUGACAAAAUAAGGCACAAGCGGAGCAACAGGGACACUAUGUGGCCAGAUGGAAGAAAAAUUCAAGUCUCUUCCUUGGGAAUUUCCCAGAAAGAGAGGCACCCCAGGGGAGUGGGGUUGGGAAGAGAGAUGAAUUUAAAAUAUGUAUAUGCUGUGAGACAUUACUCUGCUCAGCUGCUUCUUUGCAGUGACUGUA
This is a long non-coding RNA of Gopherus agassizii (Agassiz's desert tortoise), 978 nucleotides long. The record is from Ensembl. NCBI's taxonomy places the organism in Eukaryota, Metazoa, Chordata, Testudines, Testudinidae.